AGUCGAACGGCAGCGCGGGGCAACCUGGCGGCGAGUGGCGAACGGGUGAGUAAUAUAUCGGAACGUACCCUGGAGUGGGGGAUAACGUAGCGAAAGUUACGCUAAUACCGCAUACGAUCUAAGGAUGAAAGUGGGGGAUCGCAAGACCUCAUGCUCCUGGAGCGGCCGAUAUCUGAUUAGCUAGUUGGUGGGGUAAAGGCUCACCAAGGCUUCGAUCAGUAGCUGGUCUGAGAGGACGACCAGCCACACUGGAACUGAGACACGGUCCAGACUCCUACGGGAGGCAGCAGUGGGGAAUUUUGGACAAUGGGCGCAAGCCUGAUCCAGCAAUGCCGCGUGAGUGAAGAAGGCCUUCGGGUUGUAAAGCUCUUUUGUCAGGGAAGAAACGGUGAAGGCUAAUAUCCUUUGCUAAUGACGGUACCUGAAGAAUAAGCACCGGCUAACUACGUGCCAGCAGCCGCGGUAAUACGUAGGGUGCAAGCGUUAAUCGGAAUUACUGGGCGUAAAGCGUGCGCAGGCGGUUUUGUAAGUCUGUCGUGAAAGCCCCGGGCUUAACCUGGGAAUUGCGAUGGAGACUGCAAGGCUUGAAUCUGGCAGAGGGGGGUAGAAUUCCACGUGUAGCAGUGAAAUGCGUAGAGAUGUGGAGGAACACCGAUGGCGAAGGCAGCCCCCUGGGUCAAGAUUGACGCUCAUGCACGAAAGCGUGGGGAGCAAACAGGAUUAGAUACCCUGGUAGUCCACGCCCUAAACGAUGUCUACUAGUUGUCGGGUUUUAAUUAACUUGGUAACGCAGCUAACGCGUGAAGUAGACCGCCUGGGGAGUACGGUCGCAAGAUUAAAACUCAAAGGAAUUGAC
Molecule: ribosomal RNA, 856 nt
Filed under: uncultured bacterium
Lineage: Bacteria
Description: bacterial SSU rRNA
Rfam family: Bacterial small subunit ribosomal RNA
Source: RNAcentral